UCAAUUCCGCAAUUUCAAUGUUUCAACAAUAUUUUGUACGUUUCAUGGUGGGCGCGAAAGGGUUAAGAAAUCAUACAUAGUGUAAGUAUCACCAUGUAUUCGCUUUAUACAGUCUUUAUAGGGCUGUUUUAGUUUAUUGUUCAAACAUCUUGAAUACAGCUAGUUAGUACAGUGACAUUUUGUAUCCAUUCAACAUUCUUCUGACUUUCUUAACAAAAUUAUAAAAAAAAAAUUCUUUGUCCAGUGAUUACAUUCACCUGCAGUUCGUGACUAUUGCAAUCAGUAAAAUAUCUAUUGUUGCGCGAAAUCAAUUGGCACAAUGUUUGACUCUCUAAAUUUAGGUAUUUAAAAAUCAAUAAAAUAAAAUUUUGCAUUUCCUCUUUACAAAAUCAUUGUGAAGAUAUAACUCAGUAGGGUGAAAUGAAAUGUGAUCUAUAGUGCACGAUCGCCUAUCUUCGUAUGAGCCUCAAUGGCACCACUGUGUGUGCAGAAAGUAACGGCGGUGUUAUUGGUUCCACAUCUUAUCGUAUGCAAUUUAUACAUAACACUCUCCAUAUUCACACUACCACGGUAUUCAUGUGCAGUAGAUUGUGGCGGGAGAAUUGUGAUCGCCAAUCAAAGACAUUAGCAGAUUAGUGGGGAUCGUUUGUAGUAUUUUUUGUGUAUUUUACCUCUAACUACCAUUAUGCACCGCGACAUGCCAUUGCGAUCGAAUGUUGGAAUAAUUGACAUCAAAUGACUCAAUUUUCACGUCCUUAAUUGCAAUACAGACUGUAUAUAGUUGAUGAAGCGUGAGGGUAUUUAAAUAUGUAGGUAUGUGAUUUUAAAAUUAUCACAGAAUCAAACUCUAAUGAGCUGAUUUGUUUUUCUAGGUGUCUCUCAGUCAAUCAGAGAGUGGUUCAUGCACAUUAAAAGACGGUCAAAAAUCAUAAUUUGCAAAUUAUAUAGAAUUUCUUCGACAUCACUUGACCUCAUACGUAUUUAAUUUUUUUUACAAAUUUGAAAAAAUUAGAAAAGUAAAUGAUAAAUGCCAAAAAACGAACACAUAAAGAACAAAAAAAAAAGAAUUUAGAAUUUUCAAUCUAUCGAAAAAUUAUUUUAAAAAGAUUUUAUCCACUUUUAAUGGAAUCUAAACCAUAAAUGAAAUAAGACAAUCUGUGGCAAUCACAUUAAAUUUCACGCAAAAUAUUCACUUUGCCGAGAUAAAUAAGUGACAUUUUUCAUGCCAAUUUCACAUGAGGAAUUUCGACGUGUCUUUGAGAUAGUGGCUUUGGAAAUCUUCCAUUUCCAUCGGCAAACAUUUACCAAAUAACAUUCCUAGCAAUUUGCAACAGUUUCGCAUUCAACACGCAUCCUGAAGAUGGUGAAGUACCUACAUAAAUCAUCUAAAAUUAAAUCAAAUUUGGGUUUUUCCUAUCACGCCCUUCGCGGGAGGAAAGUGUCAGCAAAUAAAGGUAAAUUGAUAACAACUCAGUGAUCAUGAGUGAUUGCUGAAUAGUGACAUUCUUGAACCGUAUGAAUUAUCGCGUUCUCCGCGACAAUAAAAUCGCAUACAGCUGAGACUUAUCAUAUCAAACACACCCUAUAUCUCCAUUGACGUCAAUAGGAGCUCCACUCUGCCGUGGCCCGAUAGCGAACAAUUGUGUGUGCGUUUGUUUAAUAAUUUGGAACACGAUAAAGUGAAAUUACGACUUGAUUGUCAUUGGGAUUGUUGUACUUAAUUUAUGUACUUGUUGUAUCAAUAUUAUGGAUCAUUAAACAAUGUUUGAUCAUUAAAAAAUAAAUUUAGAGGUCGAUUCUGUUAAAAAUCUUUCCUUCCUUACAAUUAAAAAAAUUGAUGUAAAAUUUUGACAGUUGAUCUUUUUAAAAUCUCUCUAUUGUCGCGAGCUAAAAAAAAGAUUUUCUCUUCUAGAAUUCUUUCAAAACUGAACUUUCCGACUACAAAAAUAGAAACGACUGUUAAUAUAUCUUUAAGAAACUAAAAUUAUUUCCCUACAAGGUAUCUUUUAUAAUUCAUUUCUUGUUGAUAAACAUAAAGAUCACAGAAAAUGUAUUUUUAAAUCAAUGUUUAAAAAAGCAAACUAAAUGAUUAAGUAAUUUACGUCAUUUCAUGCGUCGAUAACUUUUUGCUCCAGAAUCUGCAUAUGAGAAAAAAUAAUCUAAAAAUAAAUUUAAAAUAAUCAUCAUCAUCACUAUGGAACUUUUGAAAGGCGCUCAACAACUAGGGCUAUAUGCGCCUUAUCGGUAUAUUAACGGGGCCCCCCCGAAUGGUUAGGUAGAGAAUAAAGAGUCUAAUGAGUCAUUAUUUGCGGAAUUGAUUAAAUCUCACUUUUUAGUCCACUAUCUUCAAUGAAGUUCAACACUCUUCUUAUGUCACUCUCACUACAACCGUCACCAAUUGCCGAAAUCUUGAUGCCCCCAAGGGCAUUUCUGGUAUUAGAGAAUUUCAAGCAUAAAUCGAGACAUAAAUUACGUAAUAAAUUGAGACAUCAUAUAGUCUUCUACUCUGUGGCUAUAAAAUAAUCUCAUUCAGGUGAACUUGGGAGCUGAAGUGCGUGAAUAAUGUGCUCGUCAUGUUCAUGUCGUCGCUCAAUGUUCACAAGAAUCCCGGCAUGUAGGGCUUUUCUUUUGCCGGCUCAAAUGAAACCAUCUUUGAACAAAUACUUUACCACGACGGGAUACCAGAAAAUAAAACCCUCAUCACGCCUUUAUUUUUAUUUCUUAAUUUAAAUUUUUAUAUGUUUGGGUCAAAAAACAAACUCCAGAAGGCGGACACGAUUUUCUCAAUUUUGAGAUCAGUGAUCUUUUGGGCGGGCAUGAGAAUAUGUUGUAAGAAUUUCACAUUGCUUAAUCGAUAUGCAAUCACCCCAUUAGCAAGAUUGGCUCGCAAAAAAAUAACAAUUUUCAGCACCAACUCAUUUUCAUGGUAAGAAAUAAUAAUUACAAAUCGGUGUAAAGAAAAAUGAACGGUGCUAACUAUACGUGGGAUUUUAUUCCGCGGUGCGAUAGUGGUGCAUGAUUGCAGAGUGCAUAUUGGUGAAAGAAUUAGAAGGGGCUGGGACGUAUUUAUUCAAUCGCUACCUUCCAUCUCUUAACCACAACAAGAGGCUAGCACGAGUCACAUUACAAAUUAAUGACUUGGAUGCCGCCUUUUUUGCGCAACCCACCGUUGCAGGACGAUGGUGUGGAAAAUGCAAUUCAAUGACCAUCGUUAUGAUGGAAUAUGUACUGCAUUAAAUGCUGGCGACUCUUAAUUGCCUGGAAUUUCAUAAUUAAUAAACAAAUUUAAUUUAACUACGAUCAACACCGAACAGGCGAAUAUCUCAAAUAAAUCACUGUCAAUGCUAAUAAAUCGCUGUUCAUUACUCUCAGAUUAAAGAAAACAUGUUCUUAGUUUUUUUCUUUGCAUGUGCGAUGGGAUUUAUUUACUAACUUGGCGCUAGUGCAUCCUGCUGACCAAUACCCUAAUUUUCGCGUCGCUUCAUCAAUACAGGAAAGAUACAAAUUACAAAAGAAAUCACAUAACGUUCGUUAAACGAAAACUCACUUCAGUGUUUUAUUUAUAAAGCAAAAAGGCUCUUCUGAUUAUUCAGAAAAAAAAAUGCAAAAUCUCUAUUGUAUAAAAAAAAAUUCUACUACAUAUAAUAACCUUAUUUCAUAUAAUAAAAUUUUAUAUAAAGCAAAUUGAUUUUUGGUAGUGAAAAGCUCAACAUAUUGGAAAAAGAUCACUUGAAUCUCUUUAUGAUCUUAAGGAUCACUACCAGCUUGAUCUUCAUUUAAUCACAUAACUAUCUGUUUCACAAGCUAUAGGUAAGUACUUACUUAAUUUACUUAUUUUGAUUUGUUACAAUUAGAUCUUUUUGAUCGCAAAUGGCUGAGAGUGAUGCUUAAAGAGCUUCUUAUAAAGCGCAUGAACAAUUUUAGUUUGAUCGCAAACCCCAUGAUCGUAACUUCCACCGCACCGCCAGAAAGUAUGCAUUAAUGGUAAUAUUUAAAAUAGUAACCGAAACUAUAUGUAUUCAAAUUUUUAUUUUUAUUUUUUUGUGAUGAUUCACAUACAUUUCACACAUUGUGUGCGAUUUAUUCACAAAAUUGUAAAAACAACACUAGUUAAGAAUAGAAAAUCAACAAACGAAUAGCAGACGCAACAAGUGUGGUUGAAAUUGUCAUAUAAAACAAUUAAGGUCAAUGUUUAAUUUUAUGAGUAAUCAAUUAAAUAUUUUAUGAACUCUUCAUCGGCAAAUUUAUUGCUCUCUUUGUCUUCCUAUCCAGGCGUACUAUCAGUGUUAAGCAGUUUACGUAAAUCAACUUUUGUAGGUACAAGACAUCAGUAAAUUACAAAACCAUUUUCAGUUAUCAGCGUGCAUCGACUUUUGUUCUACAUGGACUAGACGCACAUUAAGUACAAGCCAUUGACGCAAAUUCUUCAGAAAUACAUCAGUCAGAUCGAAAUCGGUUCAGCAAAUGGGGUGUGACAAAAAAUUAUAAAAGAACUUACACGAUUCAUUUGUAAUUUGAUUAAUGGAUGUAUGUGUAUAGGUAUGUAUAUUUUUUCUAAUAAGUAGAAUUCACCUAUAACAAAAAAAAUCAUUAAUUAAGAUGAACAAAUGCGGAUUUACUAGGAAGAAUAAUAUUUUUGUUUUAAUCGUGUGGACUUACUGAUUGAAAUUUCAGAAGAUCUUUUGAAAAAAAUCAAACAGAAUUUUAUCUGCAAAUUAGGAAGAUCAUGGAUGAUUGAGGAGAUGGAAUAAAAAAAAGCCAUUAAAUUGAGACAAUAUUUAAAAAAAAAAAAUGACUGAAAAAACGAUAUGCUUCAUUGUGGCACUCUUGGGAUGUAUUAAAGACCCAUCGUAACUCAGUUUGUCAUCGAACUUUUCAAAGAGUGGAAUGACGCAAAUGAAGACCAUGAACACAAAAGAGCACACUGUUUACCGUCAGAAUCGCCUUCCUCCCACCACACCUUGCAAUAAAUUUCACCUCGCCAACGUGCCACGGUUCUAAUUGAUAAAGUGCUGAUGAUCUCGUUCGUAAAAAAAAGAGAUUCAAGGAUCACAGAAAUGAAAAAUUUUCCACUGUCAUGGUCGUAUAUCAUGGAAUAUUUUAUGGAAAUACAUCUCUUAAAUUGCCUUCUUUUGUUAUUAUACUAAGAAUCAACAAUACAACGAAGGAAUUCUACUUUUCUUCUUAUUUUACAUGAAUUGCAUGAGAAGAGAAAGAACAAUGAAGAUGGAUCAUUAAAAAAGUGAACUCAUUUCAAAAUUAACUAAUUAUUUGAAACUAAAACUACAAUUUUUAUUUCCCUCAUUUUACUUGCAAGUUGAAAGAAUGAUGAAAAUAAAUUUUCCAUGAGAGCGUGAAGAGCGAGUAAUAAUAGGAUAUUUAGCCACUACAUACUGUUCCCUAAUAUGUACUCAACUUUUAUCGCACAUAGUGAAAAGUGCAAUUUCUACUUGGCACGUUUCAUAGAACUCAAUCUUCCUAAAGCACACAAUUCCAACUGCAUGACGAUAUUUUCAUGCCACUCAAGAGCGUAAUCAUGGAGAUAAGAAAUCAGUGUUGAAUUUUCAUCAACUGAUAAGGCUACGUCUUGUAUUGUUCCACAAGAGGCAUUAGUGUAAAUUUACGUCCAGAACUUUAAGCUUCCAUAAACGUAUGAGACAUAUUCACAUUAUGUGGAGGAAGGGUGAUUGGACAGAAAACAAUGGUGCCAUGGUAUUCUCACAUCAUCUCUUCCUGCGGGAAUUAUUACAUCCACAAUGCAGAGAUAGCCAUCAAUCCGGGAAGUGACAAUAGACAGGAGGAGGAGGGAUGGAAAUCUUCAAAUAGGUAGCAUCGCAGUGAAGAGCACGCAGAGAAAACAUGAAAAAUUUCAGACAGAAUCAAGCCACAGUGUUUUCUUGUAAAAUUAUUUUAUUUAUUUCUCAAUUAAAAAUUCAUAUAACA
Lutzomyia longipalpis is the source of this 5943-nucleotide long non-coding RNA. RefSeq lists it as uncharacterized. Lineage: Eukaryota; Metazoa; Arthropoda; Insecta; Diptera; Psychodidae. The transcript is spliced from 2 exons. The record is from RefSeq and is a predicted model, not a curated record.